This 253-nucleotide ribosomal RNA is filed under the name uncultured bacterium. RNAcentral's name for it is "partial 16S ribosomal RNA". It matches the Rfam family "Bacterial small subunit ribosomal RNA", at positions 524 to 776 of the family's 1533-position model. The record is from RNAcentral.
UACAGAGGGGGCUAGCGUUAUUCGGAAUUAUUGGGCGUAAAGGGCGCGUAGGCGGCCAUGCGUGUCUUCCGUGAAAUCCCUCGGCUUAACUGAGGACGUGCGGAAGAAACUGCAAGGCUCGAGUCCGGGAGAGGGGGGUGGAAUUCCCAGUGUAGCGGUGAAAUGCGUAGAUAUUGGGAAGAACACCGGUGGCGAAGGCGGCUCACUGGCCCGUAACUGACGCUCAGGCGCGAUAGCGUGGGGAUCAAACAGG